Molecule: transfer RNA, 89 nt
Filed under: Candidatus Scalindua arabica
Lineage: Bacteria; Pseudomonadati; Planctomycetota; Candidatus Brocadiia; Candidatus Brocadiales; Candidatus Scalinduaceae
Description: tRNA-Ser
Rfam family: tRNA
About the family: Transfer RNA (tRNA) molecules are approximately 80 nucleotides in length.
Source: RNAcentral
UGGAGGGAUGGCUGAGCGGUUGAAAGCGCUGGUCUCGAAAACCAGUUGGGGAGAAAUCUUCACGCGAGUUCGAAUCUCGCUCCCUCCGU